AACAGGGUGGCAUAGUGGUUUGAGCAUUGGGCUACAGCUCUGGAGACAAGGGUUCGAAUCCCUGCUUGGGCU
Molecule: non-coding RNA, 72 nt
Organism: Phrynosoma platyrhinos (Desert horned lizard)
Lineage: Eukaryota; Metazoa; Chordata; Lepidosauria; Squamata; Phrynosomatidae
Source: the annotation of a GenBank genome assembly